Mauremys mutica (yellowpond turtle) is the source of this 226-nucleotide long non-coding RNA. RefSeq lists it as uncharacterized. The record is from RefSeq and is a predicted model, not a curated record. Lineage: Eukaryota; Metazoa; Chordata; Testudines; Geoemydidae. The transcript has 3 exons.
GGGAGAGCGGCAAAGGUUGACUCGCCACCGUCCUCACGGCCAGCCCGAUUUAGGAAUUGGAUCUAUUCCUUAAGCAACAUAGCAGAAAAAAUCAGGGUACAUCACAGGAUGAUGCGCUGGACUUUCGGGUUAGAGAUGCUGUAAAAUACUAUGAGAUGUGGAACAGAUCAACAGAGCAAUGUAACCAAUCACACCAAGGAAUAUUGAAAAGGUCAAAAUAGUCAAG